CCAGCGGGCCGGGUGGUCGCCUCCCGCCGAGAGCGGGGGGAGGAAGGUCCGGGCUCCACCGGGCAGCGCGCUGGGUAACACCCAGGCGGGGCGACCCGCGGAAAGUGGCACAGAAACCAUACCGCCCGCCGUCCCUCCGGGCGGCGGGUAAGGGUGAAAAGGUGGGGUAAGAGCCCACCAGCGGCAGGGCGACCUGCCGGCUGGCCAAACCCCGCGCGGAGCAAGGCCAAAUAGGAGGGCGUGCCCUGGACACCGCCAGGGCUAAGGGUGCCCGGCCCGAGACCCUCGGGUAGGCCGCUUGAGCCUCUCCGAAAGGGGAGGCCCAGAGUGAUGACCACCGGUCGCCCUCUCGAGGAGGACGACUACAGAACCCGGCCUAUAGGCCCACUGGCCCG
This 395-nucleotide RNase P RNA is filed under the name Chloroflexota bacterium. RNAcentral's name for it is "Chloroflexi bacterium (sediment metagenome) RNase P RNA component class A". It matches the Rfam family "Bacterial RNase P class A". From Rfam's summary of the family: Ribonuclease P (RNase P) is a ubiquitous endoribonuclease, found in archaea, bacteria and eukarya as well as chloroplasts and mitochondria. Its best characterised activity is the generation of mature 5'-ends of tRNAs by cleaving the 5'-leader elements of precursor-tRNAs. The record is from RNAcentral. Lineage: Bacteria; Bacillati; Chloroflexota.